AUUUUCAACACUGAAUUUAAUUUAUCGUUUUUUGCACCCAAAAAAGAUCAGGGCGAUCUCUGCGAGUCUUAUAAAAAUGCCACUUGAGAAGACCAAAUCAAAUUAUAAGAAUGUUACGAAAAACACCUAAAGCAGAAAACAUUAAGUAGGGAAGAGAAAGCGAAGGAUAUAGAGUUGGUAAAAGAAAAUGAAGAAACUGUCGUUGCAAUAUAUGAUUUACAGGCAGUUAUGCCUGUACCUAUUGGUAAUAGUUCAGCGUUCUUCUACAAAUCGAAAUUAAAUUGUUUAAAUUUUACGAUUACAAAUAUAAAAGAUAACAUUACUUAUUGCUAUUUUUGGCACGAGGGACUUGGCAAUAGAGGAGCUGUAGAAAUUGGUUCUUGUGUAUUGAAAUUUCUGAAAGAGACUGCCGAAAUCCAAAAAAUGUAGCAAUAUAAUAUUCUACUCUGACAACUGCUGUGGUCAGCAGAAAAACAGAUUCCUGGUUAGCAUGUAUUAUUACGCCGUUGAAACUCUUCCAAUAAAAUCGAUUACCCAUAAAUAUUUGAUUCGUGGCCACACACAAAAUGAGGGUGACAAUGCUCAUUCGCUAAUCGAAAAGUCAAUUAAAAGAGCAAAAAAGUCUGGUCCUAUCUACAUUCCUUACCAGUAUGUUCAACUUAUACGAGACUCAAAGAAAACUGGAAAUGCUUUUGUAGUUAACGAAUUGAACUAUGACGAUUUUUAUGCUUUAAAAAAGUUGUUUGAGGAUAUUACAUUAAAUGUUAACAAAGAUCUGCAAGGUAACCAGAUUAAAUUAUCUGAAAUAAAAUCUAUACCUACGAUUUGUAAAAAAUUCUGAGACUUAUGAUUUAAAAUAUUCUUAUGAGGGGGAAUGGAUAUCAGUAAAAUCAAAAGCAACCAUUAAUACGCGUAAAACUCGAUCAGAUAAUAAUUUACACAUUAGUGAAAUACGUUUAAGAGCAGCUUAUAAUUCUAAACUAACGAUUUCUGAUCAAAAAAAACAGGAUUUGCGGACUUUAUUACAAAAAAAUAUUAUUCCAAGAUGCUAUUCUGGAUUUUACGAAAGUUUGUUUUAUAUAUUUUUAUCUGUUGUCUAUUUUAAUAUUUCAAAAUAAUUGUCAAUCACAGAAGUCCUUUGAGUACUUCACAACAAUUAUGGUUUAAUAAGUGGUCUAACAUUCCAUUGAUUAUAAAGUUUAUAAUUAUAUUGAGUAAGUUUAACGUUUAGGAGUAACUUUUUGCAAG
This is a long non-coding RNA of Pieris napi, 1248 nucleotides long. RefSeq lists it as uncharacterized. The transcript has 3 exons. Lineage: Eukaryota; Metazoa; Arthropoda; Insecta; Lepidoptera; Pieridae. The record is from RefSeq and is a predicted model, not a curated record.